GUGGAUUAGAUACCCGGGUAGUCCACGCCGUAAACGAUGAUCACUCGCUGUUGGCGAUACACAGUCAGCGGCUAAGCAAAAGCAUUAAGUGAUCCACCUGGGGAGUACGGCCGCAAGGCUGAAACUCAAAGGAAUUGACGGGGGCCCGCACAAGCGGAGGAACAUGUGGUUUAAUUCGAUGAUACGCGAGGAACCUUACCUGGGCUUAAAUGUAGAGUGCAUGAGGUAGAAAUACUUCUUUCCUUCGGGACUCUUUGCAAGGUGCUGCACGGCCGUCGACAACU
RNAcentral lists this ribosomal RNA (284 nucleotides) under uncultured bacterium. RNAcentral's name for it is "partial 16S ribosomal RNA". It matches the Rfam family "Bacterial small subunit ribosomal RNA", at positions 773 to 1060 of the family's 1533-position model. The record is from RNAcentral.